Schizosaccharomyces pombe (fission yeast) is the source of this 254-nucleotide non-coding RNA. Lineage: Eukaryota; Fungi; Ascomycota; Schizosaccharomycetes; Schizosaccharomycetales; Schizosaccharomycetaceae. The record is from the annotation of a GenBank genome assembly.
GUACUUGAACCUCAGAAACUCCAGCUGAUUGUGGGUUUAAGUUAUUCUUGUCUGAUGGUGAAGCUUCUUGUUCCUUAACUUUCACCUUAACACCACCACCAGCUGUAUCAGUAGGAAGAUGCAUUUUUUCAACCUUUUCAUUCGGGUCGGCAUUGCUAGCACCCUUAGAGGGCUCAGCCUGCGAAGACAUUGUUUCUGCUUAAACAAUCAAAAUAAGGUGUAGUUUCUGCUUUAUAUAAAUAACUGGUUAAUCC